CUGGGAAUGCUUGUUGGGGGAGAUAGAAUAUGAGCUGGAUAUGAAAGAAUGAGGAGUAGAUAAGCUUCUGGCUUGGUGACUACUCAGCUUCCCCAUCACCCCCACCUGUAGUAGAGACCACUCUGGGCCAGUAACCAUGGCGAUAGGAGAAGACGUGAGCAGAUGGGAGCACUAUGUGCAGAACUUAAACAUCCUUGUGUUGGGGGGAGAAAUGUUGAUUGCAAACACAAGUGCAUGUGAGCGUAGAGGG
This is a long non-coding RNA of Gorilla gorilla gorilla (western lowland gorilla), 250 nucleotides long. RefSeq lists it as uncharacterized. The record is from RefSeq and is a predicted model, not a curated record. NCBI's taxonomy places the organism in Eukaryota, Metazoa, Chordata, Mammalia, Primates, Hominidae. The transcript has 3 exons.